This 465-nucleotide ribosomal RNA is filed under the name uncultured bacterium. RNAcentral's name for it is "partial 16S ribosomal RNA". It matches the Rfam family "Bacterial small subunit ribosomal RNA", at positions 28 to 507 of the family's 1533-position model. The record is from RNAcentral.
GACGAACGCUGGCGGCGUGCUUAACACAUGCAAGUCGUACGGUAAGGCCCUUUCGGGGGUACACGAGUGGCGAACGGGUGAGUAACACGCGAGUAACCUGCCCACAACUUUGGGAUAACGCUAGGAAACUGGUGCUAAUACUGGAUAUGUGCUCCUGCUGCAUGGUGGGGGUUGGAAAGCUCCGGCGGUUGUGGAUGGACUCGCGGCCUAUCAGCUUGUUGGUGGGGUAGUGGCCUACCAAGGCGGCGACGGGUAGCCGGCCUGAGAGGGUGACCGGCCACAUUGGGACUGAGAUACGGCCCAGACUCCUACGGGAGGCAGCAGUGGGGAAUAUUGCACAAUGGGCGCAAGCCUGAUGCAGCAACGCCGCGUGCGGGAUGACGGCCUUCGGGUUGUAAACCGCUUUCAGCAGGGACGAAGCUUUUUGUGACGGUACCUGCAGAAGAAGCACCGGCUAACUACGUG